Molecule: ribosomal RNA, 498 nt
Filed under: uncultured bacterium
Lineage: Bacteria
Description: partial 16S ribosomal RNA
Rfam family: Bacterial small subunit ribosomal RNA
Source: RNAcentral
AUUGAACGCUGGCGGCAUGCCUUACACAUGCAAGUCGAACGGUAACGCGGGGCAACCUGGCGACGAGUGGCGAACGGGUGAGUAAUGCAUCGGAACGUGCCCAGUAGUGGGGGAUAGCCCGGCGAAAGCCGGAUUAAUACCGCAUACGACCUACGGGUGAAAGGGGGGGAUCGCAAGACCUCUCGCUAUUGGAGCGGCCGAUGUCAGAUUAGGUAGUUGGUGGGGUAAAAGCCUACCAAGCCGACGAUCUGUAGCUGGUCUGAGAGGACGACCAGCCACACUGGGACUGGGACACGGCCCAGACUCAUACGGGAGGCAGCAGUGGGGAAUUUUGGACAAUGGGGGAAACCCUGAUCCAGCCAUGCCGCGUGCGGGAAGAAGGCCUUCGGGUUGUAAACCGCUUUUGUCAGGGAAGAAACGCUCUGGGCUAAUACCUUGGAGUAAUGACGGUACCUGAAGAAUAAGCACCGGCUAACUACGUGCCAGCCGCCGCAGUAA